UCGAGAAUCUUCGGCAAUGGACGCAAGUCCGACCGAGCGACGCCGCGUGCGGGAUGAAGGCCUUCGGGUUGUAAACCGCUGUCAGUGGGGAGGAAAUCCCAAGGAGCUAUCUUCUUGGGUUGACCUAUCUUCAGAGGAAGUGCGGGCUAAGUUCGUGCCAGCAGCCGCGGUAAUACGAACCGCACGAACGUUAUUCGGAAUCACUGGGCUUAAAGGGUGCGUAGGCGGCCAUGCAAGUUGGGUGUGAAAUCCCUCGGCUCAACCGAGGAAUUGCGCUCAAAACUGCACGGCUUGAGGGAGAUAGAGGUGAGCGGAACUUGCGGUGGAGCGGUGAAAUGCGUUGAUAUCGCAAGGAACACCAGUUGCGAAAGCGGCUCACUGGGUCUCUUCUGACGCUGAGGCACGAAAGCUAGGGGAGCGAAGAG
Molecule: ribosomal RNA, 425 nt
Filed under: uncultured bacterium
Lineage: Bacteria
Description: bacterial SSU rRNA
Rfam family: Bacterial small subunit ribosomal RNA
Source: RNAcentral